UGGCGGACGGGUGAGUAGCGCGUAAGAACUUGCCCUUUAGACUGGGAUAACAGAGGGAAACUUCUGAUAAUACUGGAUAAGUUAGUAUAUCGCAUGAUAUGCAAAUGAAAGCUACGGCACUAAAGGAGAGCUUUGCGUCCUAUUAGCUAGUUGGUAAGGUAAGAGCUUACCAAGGCGAUGAUAGGUAGCCGGCCUGAGAGGGUGGACGGCCACAAGGGGACUGAGAUACGGCCCUUACUCCUACGGGAGGCAGCAGUC
Molecule: ribosomal RNA, 258 nt
Filed under: uncultured Leptotrichia sp.
Lineage: Bacteria; Fusobacteriati; Fusobacteriota; Fusobacteriia; Fusobacteriales; Leptotrichiaceae
Description: partial 16S ribosomal RNA
Rfam family: Bacterial small subunit ribosomal RNA
Source: RNAcentral